UCCUCCCGGACCCGUAGUACUCCCUUCGUGCGCCUCCUCCUCCCGCUCGCCGUGAAACCCUAGCGCCGCCGCCGCCGCCGCCGGAUCCGGUUGUCCUCCGCCUCUCCUGACCGCCGCCGAAUCCUCCUCUUCCCUCCCAUGCGCCACCCGGCGGGUCGACGCGCUCGUGCGGCCAGCUGGCGGCUAGGCCGGCGCGCGCGUGCGGCCACCCGGCGCACCGGCCGACGCGCCCAUGCGGCCACCCGGCAAGCCGGCCCCCGCAGCCCAGGGCAGCCUCCUCUUCCGUGCGGACCGGGGCGCCCGUGCGCCAGCACUCCUCCCGCGCGCCAGCCAGCGGGGCGGCGCGGCCGUGCGGCUAGCCUUCUUCGUCAUCGUCGUUGAGGCAGUCGCGCGCGCAGGCGCAGCAGCAGAACGGCCACUCCAAGCUCGCCAGGUACUUCGACCCGGAGGCCUCCUGGGACAAGGAUCAACUGCUGGACGCCGUGCACUGGAUCUGCCAGGUGCUCGGCCUCGCCUGUGGCCUGCUCUAGGGAGUCGUCCCCCUCGUCGGCGCCGUCUGGAUCGCCCUAUGAGAGAGACAAUGGAAUCAUUGUGUCAACUCUGGAAGUUAAUGGACUCCUCGGAAACGACAAUUUAACAAAGUGAUGAGUGUUCUCAUAUCAUCAGAAGAGGAAAUCUCAUCCCCUGGUGUUCUCUCACAGGAAACAAUUGAAAAGAUGGGUGCUGAGGUUGAGAGGUUAACAAAACUUAAAGCUAGAAGAUUAAAAGAAAUUUUCAUGAAGAAGAGGUUAGAAUUAGAAGAGAUAUGCAAAACUGCACACAUAGAACCUGAUGCCAUUACAGCCCCUGAGCAAACUAAUGAAAUGAUUGAUUCUGGCAUGCUUGACCCUUCUGAGCUUCUGGCGAAUUGAGCACCCUCUGGUUGUUCAUGAAGACAUUGCAUCCUAUGAAGUCUCUCCACAGACAGUGCAGGCACUAAGAAAGAAGCAAGCUAUCAUGAAGAAGUGUACACCAAGGAGGGUUUCAGUUGAAGUGGCCAACACAUCCAUUCCAGCUUCUAAUACCAGAAGCAAGAAGAAACUCUAGCUUGAAUAAAUUAUGUGGAGAAACUACUACUUUUGAUGUAAUUUAAGAUAUGUUUGGACUUUUUAUGUGUGGACUUAGUGUGGUGAACUACUACCUUAAAUGUUGGUGAUCUUGUUAUGUGUAGACUUAGUGUGCUUAUGAAAUACUUUAAAUAUCGCUCA
Molecule: RNA transcript, 1247 nt
Organism: Oryza brachyantha (malo sina)
Lineage: Eukaryota; Viridiplantae; Streptophyta; Magnoliopsida; Poales; Poaceae
Gene name: 65-kDa microtubule-associated protein 6-like
Exons: 5
Source: RefSeq, a predicted model, not a curated record